Molecule: ribosomal RNA, 320 nt
Filed under: uncultured Prevotella sp.
Lineage: Bacteria; Pseudomonadati; Bacteroidota; Bacteroidia; Bacteroidales; Prevotellaceae
Description: partial 16S ribosomal RNA
Source: RNAcentral
GGAGUUUGGACCGUGUCUCAGUUCCAAUGUGGGGGACCUUCCUCUCAGAACCCCUACUGAUCGAUGGCUCGGUGGGCCGUUACCCCGCCGACUACCUAAUCAGACGCAUCCCCAUCCCAUAGCGGUAAACCUUUGCUCCGAAUUAGAUGCCCGCUUCGGAAAACAUAGGGUAUUAAUCCGAUUUUCACCGGGCUAUGCCCUACUACGGGGAAGGUUGGAUACGCGUUACUCACCCGUGCGCCGGUCGCCAUCAGAGUUUGCAAGCAAACUCCAUGCUGCCCCUCGACUUGCAUGUGUUAAGCCUGUAGCUAGCGUUCAUC